This 57-nucleotide transfer RNA is filed under the name Steinernema carpocapsae. RNAcentral's name for it is "tRNA-Trp". Lineage: Eukaryota; Metazoa; Nematoda; Chromadorea; Rhabditida; Steinernematidae. The record is from RNAcentral. RNAcentral also lists the same sequence under 1 other name.
ACAGAUAUAAGUUAAUCAUAAACUAUUGGUCUUCAAAACCAAAAAUUUUAAUCUGUA